GACCGCCGUCUAAGGUCCCGGAGUUCUGCCUGAGUUAGUCUAACGAAGUCUGGUCCCUAUGACAGCUAGGAUGUUGGCUUGGAAGCAGCCAUUCAUUCAAAGAGUGCGUAACAGCUCACUAGUCGAGGGUCCGGGCAUGGAUAAUAAUCGGGUAUAAGGCAGACACCGAAGGCGCGGGAUAGCAAUUAUAAAAGUAUCGGUAGGGGGGCAUACUCACAGCGUCGAAUGGUGUACGUAAGUUAUCCUGGAGCGGUGAGUAAAGCAAAUGUAGGAAGAAGUAACGAUAAGGAGGGUUAGAUUCCCUCCCGCUGUAAGACCAAGGUUUCCCGGGCAAUGCCAAUCAGCCCGGGGUCAGUCGGGUCCUAAGUCUAAGCCGAACGGCGAUGGCGAUGGCAGAGACGGUUAAUAUUCCGUCACUGCCGCAUGGGGCGACGUGGAGACGGAGCAGUGAAACCACCGCGGGGCGACGGAAGUCCCCGUUGAAGAGUGUAGGUGUUGAGGAUGGCAGGCAAAUCCACCAUCCGAGCUGAACUUGAUAGUACGGAGUCCUCCUCGGAGGAAUCUGAUAGUGUGGGUAAUCAUACUCCCGAGAAAAUCCGCUAAGCUUAACCCAUGCGGCACCCGUACCGCAAACGGACACACGUGGUCGGGUAGAACAGACUAAGGCGUUGAGAG
Molecule: ribosomal RNA, 675 nt
Filed under: Salmonella enterica subsp. enterica serovar Kentucky
Lineage: Bacteria; Pseudomonadati; Pseudomonadota; Gammaproteobacteria; Enterobacterales; Enterobacteriaceae
Description: partial 23S ribosomal RNA
Rfam family: Bacterial large subunit ribosomal RNA
Source: RNAcentral